CCAAAGGCUCUUUUCAGAGCCACCCACAUUCUCAAAUAAGGCAGCU
This 46-nucleotide non-coding RNA is filed under the name Marmota monax (woodchuck). It matches the Rfam family "Histone 3' UTR stem-loop". From Rfam's summary of the family: The mRNAs of metazoan histone genes lack a poly-A tail. 3' end processing occurs at a site between a highly conserved stem-loop (modelled by this family) and a purine rich region around 20 nts downstream (the histone downstream element, or HDE). The record is from RNAcentral. Lineage: Eukaryota; Metazoa; Chordata; Mammalia; Rodentia; Sciuridae.